This 3882-nucleotide long non-coding RNA is filed under the name Homo sapiens (human). RNAcentral's name for it is "non-protein coding CASC15:24". Lineage: Eukaryota; Metazoa; Chordata; Mammalia; Primates; Hominidae. The record is from RNAcentral.
CAAGAACACUGUAUGUUUUUUCCUUGCAUUAGGAAAUGGGGAUAAUUUUGACACUUUUCACUUUAUUUUAGAAAGAGCUUGUACUUUUGUUUUGUAAGGAAAAUAAAAAAGGUAAGCAUGGUAGGGCACAGUGGCUUGUGCCUGUAAUCCCAGCACUUUGGGAGGUCAAGGCUGGAGGAUCACUUAAGCCCAGGAGUUCGAGGCUGCAAUGAGCUAUGAAUACACCACUACAUCCCAGCCUGGGUGAUAGAGCGAGACCUUGUCUGUGGGAAAAAAAAAAAAAAGUGUGAGUGAUACUGUUUAUUACGAAGCUUAAUUUGCAUUGAGGUUAAAUGUUAAUGGGAUUCUCCUCUCUUCUUUUUCUAACUCUGAAAUCCCAUUCUAAGCCUUGAAAUGGGCAGAGCAAGGUAGGAGUCUCCAGCAGGGAGGAGGAGGGGAGUUGUGGUGGCUCAGAGCAACAUGUCAGACCCGAGAGGGUCAGUACUGAUAGGGCACAGCCUGUCAAGGGCUGUCAGAGCCUUGGCAGGGUGACAAGGAUGUUCACAUGUGGGGACAGGCUGGUGUGGGGUUUUGGAGGACAAGCUGAGUGAGGCAGGUAUCUAGAGGUAGAGUGGAUUGGAAUAUGGACCCCCAAAAUAUUUGUCCAAGUGCUAACUCCUAGUACCAAACUCUGUAUUAAUUUCUCAGAGCUGCUGUAACUAAUUAUGUUUAACUUGAUGACUUCAUUCAACAGAAAUUUAUUCUUUCACAGUUCUGGAGACCAGAAGGCCAAAAUCAAAAGUAUGGGCAGGCUUGAUUUCUUUAGAAGACUCCAGCGGAGAACUGUGUCUCCUUGCUUCUGGUGGGUAUUGGCAAUCCUUGGAGUUCCUUGGCUUGUAGGCACAUCGCUUCAAUCUCUGCUUCUGCUUUCACGUGGGGCUCCUCCCUGUAUGUGUCUGUGUUGCCUCCUUUUCUGACUCUCAUAAGAACACUUGUUAUUGGAUAUAGAGCCCUCCCUAAUCCAGGAUGGUCUCAUCUUGAGAUCUUUAUCUUGGUUAUGUCUACAAAGACCCUUAUUCCAAAUAAAGUCACAUUUUGAGAUUUUGGGUGGACAUGUGUUUUGAUGUGCCACUAUUCAACACACUACCAAAGAGGUCACUCAUCACGUGGUUUCAGAGAUCAAGAGGAGUGAGAAUGGCAUCCCUGUGAAGGGGUGGUUUCUUGUGGGGCAUGAAAGCUUAUGCAGGAUAGGAGAGUAUCUAUGCUAGAAGUCACCCAGCAUAAAUGUCAGACCCCAAGUGGGGUGAUGAGGCGAGAUGAGAGAUUGGUUACAUAUGGUAGACUGAUCCAAUGAACACUGUAUGUUUUUUCCUUGCAUUAGGAAAUGGGGAUAAUUUUGACACUUUUCACUUUAUUUUAGAAAGAGCUUGUACUUUUGUUUUGUAAGGAAAAUAAAAAAGGUAAGCAUGGUAGGGCACAGUGGCUUGUGCCUGUAAUCCCAGCACUUUGGGAGGUCAAGGCUGGAGGAUCACUUAAGCCCAGGAGUUCGAGGCUGCAAUGAGCUAUGAAUACACCACUACAUCCCAGCCUGGGUGAUAGAGCGAGACCUUGUCUGUGGGAAAAAAAAAAAAAAGUGUGAGUGAUACUGUUUAUUACGAAGCUUAAUUUGCAUUGAGGUUAAAUGUUAAUGGGAUUCUCCUCUCUUCUUUUUCUAACUCUGAAAUCCCAUUCUAAGCCUUGAAAUGGGCAGAGCAAGGUAGGAGUCUCCAGCAGGGAGGAGGAGGGGAGUUGUGGUGGCUCAGAGCAACAUGUCAGACCCGAGAGGGUCAGUACUGAUAGGGCACAGCCUGUCAAGGGCUGUCAGAGCCUUGGCAGGGUGACAAGGAUGUUCACAUGUGGGGACAGGCUGGUGUGGGGUUUUGGAGGACAAGCUGAGUGAGGCAGGUAUCUAGAGGUAGAGUGGAUUGGAAUAUGGACCCCCAAAAUAUUUGUCCAAGUGCUAACUCCUAGUACCAAACUCUGUAUUAAUUUCUCAGAGCUGCUGUAACUAAUUAUGUUUAACUUGAUGACUUCAUUCAACAGAAAUUUAUUCUUUCACAGUUCUGGAGACCAGAAGGCCAAAAUCAAAAGUAUGGGCAGGCUUGAUUUCUUUAGAAGACUCCAGCGGAGAACUGUGUCUCCUUGCUUCUGGUGGGUAUUGGCAAUCCUUGGAGUUCCUUGGCUUGUAGGCACAUCGCUUCAAUCUCUGCUUCUGCUUUCACGUGGGGCUCCUCCCUGUAUGUGUCUGUGUUGCCUCCUUUUCUGACUCUCAUAAGAACACUUGUUAUUGGAUAUAGAGCCCUCCCUAAUCCAGGAUGGUCUCAUCUUGAGAUCUUUAUCUUGGUUAUGUCUACAAAGACCCUUAUUCCAAAUAAAGUCACAUUUUGAGAUUUUGGGUGGACAUGUGUUUUGAUGUGCCACUAUUCAACACACUACCAAAGAGGUCACUCAUCACGUGGUUUCAGAGAUCAAGAGGAGUGAGAAUGGCAUCCCUGUGAAGGGGUGGUUUCUUGUGGGGCAUGAAAGCUUAUGCAGGAUAGGAGAGUAUCUAUGCUAGAAGUCACCCAGCAUAAAUGUCAGACCCCAAGUGGGGUGAUGAGGCGAGAUGAGAGAUUGGUUACAUAUGGUAGACUGAUCCAAUAGGCAAGUAAGUAUAUUGAGGGUGAGAGGAGCCAAGUUUCUGUCAUAGAAGCAAAUUACAAAUAUAAAAAAGGAGAAAAUUAUGGAGUUGAAGGUACUGGUGUGAACUUGUAAUUUGUAAUAAAUGAGCUAUAUUAAUACAUGGAGAUGUAAAUGUAUGUGGGUGUAUGUGUGUUUUAUAAUACCUAGCUCUGUUCACUGAAAUAGGCUGGCAACAUAUCCACUGCGAUAGCAACUAGCACAUUUAGCAUCCAUAUCUUGGCUUCUAAAUACUGGUCUUCACCAGAAAGAGAGAGUUUUUCUUGGGAAAAUGACCAGAUUUCAUAGAGGGAGUACAUUGUAUAGAGGGAGUACAAUAUCAAGCAUUUUAUACCAGAAAGUAAGGAAGUCCUUUAAAAAAAUAAUGGAGUCGUGUCAAAAGGGCGCAAAAAUCAUCCUGAAGAAGCUCCCAUAAGCCAAAUUGGGAAUAAUUUGACCAUCAAAGUAAACGAUAGUAAUGUAUUACCGCUCAUUAAAGUACAAAACCGUUAAGUCCAUCAUUAUCAAAGUAAGUGAGUAAAUUGAAAAUUUGGAAUGAAUGAGAUAUUUACAUACUUUCAAAUCUAUCCCCCACAAAAUAUUUACUAAUCACAAGGGGGAAAAUGAAUACAUUUUGAAUGGAGAAACAUGCCGAUGCCACCUGAACUGAGUGAUCAAAGUGAACAUCGUCAGUGAUAGCAUAAAUCAAAAUUACUUGUCACCCACCUGAUAGAAUGCAAUGAGAAACAUCUGUGAUAUUCCUGUCAGAUGCAUCAUCUGAAUCUUAUCAUGAGAAAGCACAAUAAAGCCAAAUUGAGGCAUGUUCUACCGAAUAAAUGGAUGGUAAUUUUCAAAAGUCUUAGAGUUUUGAAAGCCAGGGAAAGACUAAUGAACUAAUGAAGGCAUCUAGAGAGACAUGAUAACUAAUUGCAAUGUGUGUUUCUGAACUGGACACUUAUUUUGACAAUCAAAUCUGAAAAUUAGAGAGUAGUAAUAUCUCAACAUAUCAAUUGCUUAAUAAAUACCCAGAGCAGAGUAAGCACUCAGUUUAACUAUGAUGAUGACAAUGAUGACACUGACAAUGAUUACUGAAGGACCGCAUGAAAAAAUACACCUAGCAGGGGUGGGGGGAGCGGGGAGGGAUAGCAUUAGGAGAUAUACCUAAUGUAAAUGACAAGUUAAUGGGUGCAGCACACCAACAUGGCA